GAUGGACGCUGGCGGCGUGCCUAAUACAUGCAAGUCGAGCGAACAGAUGAGGAGCUUGCUCCUCUGACGUUAGCGGCGGACGGGUGAGUAACACGUGGAUAACCUACCUAUAAGACUGGGAUAACUUCGGGAAACCGGAGCUAAUACCGGAUAAUAUAUUGAACCGCAUGGUUCAAUAGUGAAAGACGGUUUUGCUGUCACUUAUAGAUGGAUCCGCGCCGCAUUAGCUAGUUGGUAAGGUAACGGCUUACCAAGGCAACGAUGCGUAGCCGACCUGAGAGGGUGAUCGGCCACACGGGAAUGGAGACAGGGCCCAGACCCCUAGGGGGGGCAGGAGGGGGAAAUCUUCCGCAAGGGGCGAAAGCCUGACGGGGCAACCCCGGGGGAGGGAGGAAGGUUUUGGGAUCGAAAAACUUUGUUAUUGGGAAAAAAAAAAUGGUAAAUUAAUUAUGACCGUUUGGCGGGGCCCUAAGCAAAAAGCCACGGCAAACUACGG
Molecule: ribosomal RNA, 496 nt
Filed under: uncultured bacterium
Lineage: Bacteria
Description: partial 16S ribosomal RNA
Rfam family: Bacterial small subunit ribosomal RNA
Source: RNAcentral